This 313-nucleotide long non-coding RNA is filed under the name Erythranthe guttata (spotted monkey flower). RNAcentral's name for it is "long non-coding RNA (EGUT_LNC003192)". Lineage: Eukaryota; Viridiplantae; Streptophyta; Magnoliopsida; Lamiales; Phrymaceae. The record is from RNAcentral.
UCACUUCCCACCUCUUUUUCAACCAAUUGCAGACGCCGCCCUCUUCCACUUGCUUACAUAUUUUCUCAAUCUUUUUUUAAUAUUAUCCCGCAUCUCCACCACCUAAGUUAUCUGUGCAGCCCCCACCUCCUCCUUCUCUCUGCCACCUAAGUUCCCAGGUUUUAUUUAAAAUUGCUGAAAAGUGUUGCAUUUAUUUUCGUUAUUAUCUGUUUUAAAGUGUUGAUAUAAUCAUGUUUGUAUCACCGUUAAUAGAGCUUCAAUUUUGUAAGAAUUGUCUGUUUCUUUUCUUCCUCGAUUUUUCUCAGUAUUGCUG